GUGCUCGCUUCGGCAGCACUUAUACUAAAAUUGGAACGAUACAGAGAAGGUUAGCAUGGCCCCUGUGCAAGGAUGACACCCAAAUUCGUGAAGCGUUCUAUAUUUUU
Molecule: small nuclear RNA, 107 nt
Organism: Dipodomys ordii (Ord's kangaroo rat)
Lineage: Eukaryota; Metazoa; Chordata; Mammalia; Rodentia; Heteromyidae
Source: Ensembl